GGCCAGUACUUGGCCAUGGACACCGACGGGCUUUUAUACGGCUCACAGACACCAAAUGAGGAAUGUUUGUUCCUGGAAAGGCUGGAGGAGAACCAUUACAACACCUAUAUAUCCAAGAAGCAUGCAGAGAAGAAUUGGUUUGUUGGCCUCAAGAAGAAUGGGAGCUGCAAACGCGGUCCUCGGACUCACUAUGGCCAGAAAGCAAUCUUGUUUCUCCCCCUGCCAGUCUCUUCUGAUUAAAGAGAUCUGUUCUGGGUGUUGACCACUCCAGAGAAGUUUCGAGGGGUCCUCACCUGGUUGACCCAAAAAUGUUCCCUUGACCAUUGGCUGCGCUAACCCCCAGCCCACAGAGCCUGAAUUUGUAAGCAACUUGCUUCUAAAUGCCCAGUUCACUUCUUUGCAGAGCCUUUUACCCCUGCACAGUUUAGAACAGAGGGACCAAAUUGCUUCUAGGAGUCAACUGGCUGGCCAGUCUGGGUCUGGGUUUGGAUCUCCAAUUGCCUCUUGCAGGCUGAGUCCCUCCAUGCAAAAGUGGGGCUAAAUGAAGUGUGUUAAGGGGUCGGCUAAGUGGGACAUUAGUAACUGCACACUAUUUCCCUCUACUGAGUAAACCCUAUCUGUGAUUCCCCCAAACAUCUGGCAUGGCUCCCUUUUGUCCUUCCUGUGCCCUGCAAAUAUUAGCAAAGAAGCUUCAUGCCAGGUUAGGAAGGCAGCAUUCCAUGACCAGAAACAGGGACAAAGAAAUCCCCCCUUCAGAACAGAGGCAUUUAAAAUGGAAAAGAGAGAUUGGAUUUUGGUGGGUAACUUAGAAGGAUGGCAUCUCCAUGUAGAAUAAAUGAAGAAAGGGAGGCCCAGCCGCAGGAAGGCAGAAUAAAUCCUUGGGAGUCAUUACCACGCCUUGACCUUCCCAAGGUUACUCAGCAGCAGAGAGCCCUGGGUGACUUCAGGUGGAGAGCACUAGAAGUGGUUUCCUGAUAACAAGCAAGGAUAUCAGAGCUGGGAAAUUCAUGUGGAUCUGGGGACUGAGUGUGGGAGUGCAGAGAAAGAAAGGGAAACUGGCUGAGGGGAUACCAUAAAAAGAGGAUGAUUUCAGAAGGAGAAGGAAAAAGAAAGUAAUGCCACACAUUGUGCUUGGCCCCUGGUAAGCAGAGGCUUUGGGGUCCUAGCCCAGUGCUUCUCCAACACUGAAGUGCUUGCAGAUCAUCUGGGGACCUGGUUUGAAUGGAGAUUCUGAUUCAGUGGGUUGGGGGCAGAGUUUCUGCAGUUCCAUCAGGUCCCCCCCAGGUGCAGGUGCUGACAAUACUGCUGCCUUACCCGCCAUACAUUAAGGAGCAGGGUCCUGGUCCUAAAGAGUUAUUCAAAUGAAGGUGGUUCGACGCCCCGAACCUCACCUGACCUCAACUAACCCUUAAAAAUGCACACCUCAUGAGUCUACCUGAGCAUUCAGGCAGCACUGACAAUAGUUAUGCCUGUACUAAGGAGCAUGAUUUUAAGAGGCUUUGGCCCAAUGCCUAUAAAAUGCCCAUUUCGAAGAUAUACAAAAACAUACUUCAAAAAUGUUAAACCCUUACCAACAGCUUUUCCCAGGAGACCAUUUGUAUUACCAUUACUUGUAUAAAUACACUUCCUGCUUAAACUUGACCCAGGUGGCUAGCAAAUUAGAAACACCAUUCAUCUCUAACAUAUGAUACUGAUGCCAUGUAAAGGCCUUUAAUAAGUCAUUGAAAUUUACUGUGAGACUGUAUGUUUUAAUUGCAUUUAAAAAUAUAUAGCUUGAAAGCAGUUAAACUGAUUAGUAUUCAGGCACUGAGAAUGAUAGUAAUAGGAUACAAUGUAUAAGCUACUCACUUAUCUGAUACUUAUUUACCUAUAAAAUGAGAUUUUUGUUUUCCACUGUGCUAUUACAAAUUUUCUUUUGAAAGUAGGAACUCUUAAGCAAUGGUAAUUGUGAAUAAAAAUUGAUGAGAGUGUUAGCUCCUGUUUCAUAUGAAAUUGAAGUAAUUGUUAACUAAAAACAAUUCCUUAGUAACUGAACUGUCAUAUUUAGAAUGGAAGGAAAAUGACAGUUUGUGAAAGUUCAAAGCAAUAGUGCAAUUGAAGAAUUGACCUAAGUAAGCUGACAUUAUGGUUAAUAAUAGUAUUUUAGAUUUGUGCAGCAAAAUAAUUUCAUAACUUUUUUGUUUUUGUUACUUGGAUAAGAUCAAUCUGUUUUAUUUUAGUAAAUCUUUGCAGGCAAGUUAGAGAAAAUGCAGUGUGGCUUAACGUCUCUUUAGUAUGAAGAUUUGGC
This 2287-nucleotide long non-coding RNA is filed under the name Homo sapiens (human). RNAcentral describes it as "HSALNT0095615". The record is from RNAcentral. Lineage: Eukaryota; Metazoa; Chordata; Mammalia; Primates; Hominidae.